UUUUUUUCCAUAGCAUACUAUCCCAUGUUAUUAUCCACUCAAACCCGUCACACCAUAUAACCCCGUCCCGUGAAAUUAAACACAAAUUUGUCAUUUA
RNAcentral lists this small RNA (97 nucleotides) under Arabidopsis thaliana (thale cress). Its description in RNAcentral is "ATSL277700". Lineage: Eukaryota; Viridiplantae; Streptophyta; Magnoliopsida; Brassicales; Brassicaceae. The record is from RNAcentral.